GGGGUCAAAACAUAAUAUUAAAAAGUUUGAAUUUUUUUUUAAAAAAACACUGUUGAACCGGAAAAUCGGUUUUUUCCGGUCAAACCCGGUCAAAAUCGGUUUUUGACCGACUUUGACCGAGUUUUAAAUUCCCGGUUUUUUAGUAUGGCUCGGGCCGACUAUCUGACCGAUUUUCGAUUCGACCGGUCGGUCCGGUCCGAAUUUCAAAACAGAGGUUCUAUCUGCUAAUUUGUUGUACAACAUGUAGCAAUUGAUUGAACUUUGAAGAUCAGUCAAUAAGUGCUAAGUACCAACAACUCCUUUGUUUUUUUAUUAUUUUUUUAUUUGACCGAGGAGUGGAAUAAUAGUUUUCAUUUUUCAAACUUCCCGGGAAGAUUAAAAUAUUGACCACUUCUUCAACUUGACACGAGAGACCGUCAAAUUUGGCGAUUGAAUUUCGAUUAUUAUUAAUGAGACCGAGGAGGGUUCUUAAUAGGACU
Molecule: long non-coding RNA, 479 nt
Filed under: Coffea arabica (coffee)
Lineage: Eukaryota; Viridiplantae; Streptophyta; Magnoliopsida; Gentianales; Rubiaceae
Description: long non-coding RNA (CARA_LNC005847)
Source: RNAcentral